This 73-nucleotide transfer RNA is filed under the name Chloroflexota bacterium. RNAcentral describes it as "Chloroflexi bacterium tRNA-Ala". It matches the Rfam family "tRNA". Rfam says of the family: Transfer RNA (tRNA) molecules are approximately 80 nucleotides in length. Their secondary structure includes four short double-helical elements and three loops (D, anti-codon, and T loops). Further hydrogen bonds mediate the characteristic L-shaped molecular structure. tRNAs have two regions of fundamental functional importance: the anti-codon, which is responsible for specific mRNA codon recognition, and the 3' end, to which the tRNAs corresponding amino acid is attached (by aminoacyl-tRNA synthetases). tRNAs cope with the degeneracy of the genetic code in two manners: having more than one tRNA (with a specific anti-codon) for a particular amino acid; and 'wobble' base-pairing, i.e. permitting non-standard base-pairing at the 3rd anti-codon position. The record is from RNAcentral. Lineage: Bacteria; Bacillati; Chloroflexota.
GGGCCUGUAGCGCAGCUGGGAGCGCAUCACAAUGGCAUUGUGAGGGUCAAGGGUUCGAGUCCCUUCAGGUCCA